UUUUUUUUUUCUUUUUUCUUUUUUUUGGCGGUACCCAAGGUAGGGAUCGAACUUGCACCACAGCAGUGACAAUGCCAGAUCCUUAACCUACUGCACCACCACAGAAUUCCAUGGGAGGCUUUUUAAAAUCCUCAGAAUAAAGAUCAAUCCUCUAUAUAGUAGUCUAUUUAAAGAAAAAUAUACUGCCUGGUAAUCAUACUUCACAGAAAACUAAAUGAAAGGAGUUUCUCCCCUUUCUUACUAAAAUGACUAGGAUAGGAUUUCACUAAGGCUACCUUUCCUCCAUCAUCUUAUCACAUAGUUUCUAAUACAGUCCAUAAACAUAUGCUUAAAUAAUGAAGAGAUUUCUUAAAAAAAUUGGUAUUACACUUUGAACAAGGAUGAGUUUACACUAAAUAUAUGAUAAACAUGCAUAUACAAAGGUAAAAUCUGCUACUCUGUAUUCUACAAAAAUCACAGAAUUUUGUAUUUUCUAGCUGGCAACAACCUUCAUAACUGUCAUCUCUUAUUUUUUAUAUAGGGAAAUUGAAAAAAUGAUACUAAAAACUAAACUAAAUAAACAAAAACAACUUGGCAAGGCUAUUUAUAGUGAGUGAUAAAGUUGCCUUUGUUUUUGUUUUACAAAGACUUUACAAAGUCUUCUACAUCACUUGGAGGCUUCUGAGAUUCAUAGUUUAAAAAAAAAGUCACUUGAGUCAGGAUUCGUGGUUUGCUCUCAAGGACUGAUUUGCCACACAAACAAAAAAAUGUUCCUCUGUAGAUGUAUAGAUACCUCAGUGGAGUUAUUUUAUCAAAGCACUUGUGGUGCGCCUCCCUAUAUACACUAAGUCAAGUGGUCUAAGGCCAAUUCUUUGGAAAGAUUUUUGAAGUGUCCUGACUUUCAUAUCCCCGAGGUCACUUCUUUACUGUUCUUGUGACAGCCUUGUAAGAGUCCACAGUUAUGAGCAUAUGUGGGAGACAUACAUGUGACUGCCAGCCUUACUCACCAGACAGAAAUUUGAAGACAUUCAAAAUAGAAUCUAUAAAUGCAUAUUUAACUAAUCAGGUUUAUUUGAAAAUCCUGUUUAUAAGUCACUUAAACAUUUAAGAUUUAGACUUCAGGAAGAUAUGAUGGUUUUUAUAUUAUUAGUUUCUUCUAAGAGUUAGUUUCUAGGACUCUUUUUGAUGUGUCAGGUUAUGUCCAGGAAAAAAGUCACGUUAAAGAUAAAUAAAAAUAGGAAUUGAACUUUCUAUUUUUGUAAGGACUCGAAGUAAAAAAAAUUGUAAAGAUGAUGCUUACAGUCAAAAUAAAAUGCCAAUUUAUUUAUUUAUUCAUUAACAAGAAGGAUAAUGCUAAUAUCCAUCUUUUUUUUUUUUUUUUUUUUUCGCUGUACAGCAUGGGGACCAAGUUACUCAUACAUGUAUAUAUACCUUUUCCUCCCAUUGUUGUGUUGCGAUGUAAGUAUCUAGACAUAGUUCUCAAUGCUACACAGCAGGAUCUCGUAAAUCCAUUCCAAGAGCAAUAGUUUGCAUCCAUUAACCCCAAGCUCCUGAUCUCUCCCACUCUCUCCCUCUCCCCUCAGGCAGCUACAAGUCUAUUCUCCAAGUCCAUGAUUUUCUUUUCUGUGGAAAGCUUCAUUUGUGCCUUAUAUUAGAUUCCAGAUAUAAGUGAUAUCAUAUGGUAUUUUUCCUUCUCUUUCUGACUUAUUUCACUCAGUAUGAGAGUAGUCUCUAGUUCCAUCCAUGUUGCUGCAAAUGGCAUUAUGUCAUUCUUCUUUAUGGCUGAGUAUAUUCUAUAGUGUAUAUAUACCACAUCUUCGUAAUCCAAUCGUCUGUCGAUGGACAUUUGGGUUGUUUCCAUGUCUUGGCUAUUGUGAAUAGUGCUGCAAUGAACCUGCAGGUGCAUGUGUCUUUUUUAAGGAAAUAUUUGCCUGGAUAUAUGCCCAGAGUGGGAUUGCUGGGUCAUAUGGGAGUUCUAUGUAUAGAUUUCUAAGGUACCCCCAUACUGUUUUCCAUACUGUGCCAGCUUACAUUCCUACCAACUGUGCAGGAGGGUUCCUUUUUCUCCACACCCCCUCCAGCUCUUGUUAUUUGUGGACUUAUUAAUAUCCAUCUUAAUACUAAGACAAAGCUUAAGAGAUGGGGCUAGCAGUUUCUUAGCUUAUUGCUGGAAGAUUCCAAUGGAAUGGAAGGGUAGGGUUUAGUAUGCAGAUGCUGCAUGAGGACUGGGGCACAUGUUCACUAGCUCCUGCCAGCUAGUCCUGGAGUGGGAUCCUGGGGGAAUUAACUAACAAGGCCUUUGGCAUGUAUUUCCUUCUUCUUUUGUAUAAACUUAACAGUGUGAAUGGAGCAACUAGUUUAUUUUCAAGAGUAUGCAUUGCUAGAUUUCUACUUCCAUAAAUACUUAAUAUCCUAGUCCUUUAUAUUUACAUUUCUUUGAAAAUCCUUCUGUUUACUUGCUUCAAAAUCAGUAUUACAUUUUAGAGUAACAUUUUUAUGUAUAUAUUUUUACAUAGCACCAUUUAAUAAAAAUGAAUGUGCCGUAGAGACAAAAACCGAAGAAAAACAAAAAGAAAGACAGAAGACACACAUGUAGGAGGAAAAAGGAAGAGUGGAAAUCAUUAAGCCACCCACCUAUCCUUCAAAGUCGGUGUGGUAGCUGGAGAAAUUGCAAAUUUUAAAUGAGGCUAACUCAUUUUGCUGAAAAGAGAAUACAUCUACCCGUUAUCGAGAAGUGAAAUUUAACUUCCUUAGUUUCAAUAAUUCACCAUUGUGAAAUAUAUUCCUUAGUAUUACAUUAAAAAAUAAUGAAGAAAAAUGAGUAUAGUUUUAAAAGCUUUUUAAAUCUGGUUUCCAUGCUUAUUCUAUUACUGCGUUCCAGUAAGUAGACUUGAAUAUCUCAUCUUCUAUGACUAUUUUUUUUCUUUACUGUAGAAACAGAAAAAUAGAUUUUAUGAUAGAUCGUCCUCCAAAGAAUGUUCCUUUUGAUUGAGUUUUCUCUUUUUGGUAUUGUUAGACAAAAGGAUAAUAGCAAUUAGAGGAAUGUGGGCUAAUCUAACAAAAAAAUUCUAUUCUUAAUUAUAUCAGUUCUUUAUGUUUUCCUCUUAUCUAUGAUAGAAGAUCUUAAUAUAAUAGCCAAAGUAUCAAAGCAUUUGGAUUGUAACAUUCCUGACCUGAGUUAUAAGUAUGUUUGAUUGAAAAGGCCAAAUUUUAAAAAAUGCGUGAUAAAAUUAGGCCAUACUAUCCAGAAACUGCCCAGAAAUCAUAUAAUCUGUUUCUGGAUAUCAUAUUCAAUUGUUAUAUGAGGUUGUAUAAUGUAAACAAGAAAUAACGUAUUUUUGUCUUGCGACAUCAAUUCUGAAAAGAAAUCUGAGAGUACAAGACUAUAGAAAGAACAUGAACUAUUGGCCCAAAUCUGUGCAUUGUCUCACUGGGGCUCCUGAAAACCCAAAGUAACUGCUCCAUUAAAGUAAGAAUAGAUCACGGUUAAUGCAUCAAAGGGAAUCUGGUAAAUGUGUUGUUAUUAAAAACAAGCCAAGGAGGCGUUCCCAUCGUGACACAGUGGAAAGGAAUCCGAGUAGUAUGAGGAUAUGGUUUCUAUCCCUGCCCUUGCUCAGUGGGUUGAGGAUCUGGUGUUGCAGUGAGCUGUGGUGUAGAUCUCAGACUAGGCUUGGAUUCUGAGUUGCUCAGGCUGUGGUGUACGCCAGUAGCUGCAGCUCCACUUCCACCCCUAGCCUGGGAACCUCCAUAUGCUGCGGGUGCGGGCUUAAAAAACAAGCGAAGAAAACAAGAGUAACUUUGUUAUACUUGUGAUGGACAUAUAUUGUUCCAUUACAUAGUAAAAUAAAUAUAUAAUAAGAGGUGAAACAAUUUAUUUGAUAGAUGGUAGAGUUGCUAUAAUAAUUAGAGCUUCAUAAAAGUGGGCCAAAAUAAACAUAACUUAUGUUAAAUCCAACCUAAACUUUGGGUGUUUUCUGCCAUUAGCAUAUGAUAUAUUAAUUAUCCUUGCAAAAUAAAUAAAGAAGAAAGAAAAACAAAUUUUAAAAAACAGAGCCAUAUUUAAAGCUUAAAUAAAACUGGUGUGUUUCUGAGAGCCUCAUAAAUGAAUUACUGCCAAGAAAACGCUUUAUUGAGUUGCUGUUCUUUCCCUAAGGUUGUGUUUGAAUGGAAAAAAAAAAAAAAUAUUUUCAACGAAUCAAGAGAAAAGAUAGGUUUCUCUUUCUAGAUCUUGAUUCCUUUGAUUUUUUUAGCCAUGUAAGAUAAAUUGAUUAUUUAAAAAAUGGUCAAUUUUCCUCUGUGAAUACAUUUUAUUUAUAAAACGUGACAGAGAUGGCAAUCCUUUUUUUUUUUUUUUUUCUGUCUUUUGUCUUUUAGGGCCACACUCACAGCAUAUGGAGGCUAGGCGUGGAAGCGGAGCUGUAGCUGCAGGCCUACACCACAGCCACAGAAGCAAAGGACCCAAGCAGCAUCUACAACAUACACUACAGCUCACAGCAAUGCCAAAUCCUUAAGUCACUGGGUGAGGCCAGGGAUCAAACCUGCAUCCUCAAGGCUGUUUGUCAUAUUCCUUUCUUCUGAGCCACAAUGGGAACUCCUAGAUGGCAAUCUUUAUUGAAAAAUAAAAUUGUCUUAGUUUUGCUGAAAUAUUUAACAAUUUCUCCCUCUUUCAACAUUAUGUCAUAGUGACAAAAUUCCCUAAGUCACAACCAAAAACAUUAAUCCCUCGAAUGCACUAGAAAUUAUAUCUAGAAGAAUAUCUUAUAAUGUGGUUUGAUUUUUUUGCUGCUUGGAAGUUUCCCAUGAGUUUAGAGAUUGAAGGGCCAGACAAACUUGCAAGUAUACUGGGAAGGCAUGCCACUCAAGUAAAAGACUAUCUUUCCCCAAAGAAUAUGCAUAUUCUUACUUUUUUAUAUAUAUUUUUCCUCUGUGUAAUUGCUUGGAUAGAUUGCAGAUGUGUAUACCAAAAAUUAUUAAAUUCGUACAAACUAAUGGCUGGAUUCUUUUGGAAUUGUUUGCUAUUUAGUCAAUUAAAAAACAUAUAUGUAUUUUGGGGGGGAGGGGCUGCACCCACAGCUUGCAGAAUUUCCCUGGCCGGUGAUGGAACCCAUGUCACAGCAGUGACCUGAGUCAUACCAGUGACAACUCCUGCUGAGCCACCAGGGAGGAAUAAAUUAGGAGGUUGGGAUUGACAUGUACACACUGCUAUAUAUAAAAUAAGUAACAAGGACCUACCUUACAGCACUGGGAAAUCUACUCAAUACUGUGUAAUAACCUGGAGUUCCCAUUGCGGCGCAGUGGAGGUGAAUCCAACUAGGAAGCAUGAGGUUGUGGGUUCAAUCC
This 5319-nucleotide long non-coding RNA is filed under the name Sus scrofa (pig). RNAcentral describes it as "lncRNA (ENSSSCG00030031289.1)". Lineage: Eukaryota; Metazoa; Chordata; Mammalia; Artiodactyla; Suidae. The record is from RNAcentral.